Molecule: ribosomal RNA, 918 nt
Filed under: Triticum aestivum (bread wheat)
Lineage: Eukaryota; Viridiplantae; Streptophyta; Magnoliopsida; Poales; Poaceae
Description: partial small subunit ribosomal RNA
Source: RNAcentral
AUGGCCUCGAUCCCGCUCGGCACCUUAUGGUCACCCCCCGCCGCCGUCGCCGUGGCCGCCACAUCCCGUAUUGCGCGGCCGGUUCAUAUCCAGCUGCUGGACCGGCGAGGACCCUCGUCGGCGCGGGUCAAGAUUCAUGCCCGCACGCGUGACGCGUUUCGCUCACACUGUGACAAGCGUGCCGAUCACCUCCCCGAGCCAGAGCCAGAGCCAGAGUCAGAGCCAGAAAACGACGAUCCAAACAACGCUGCACCCUCAGAGAAUGUUCCCUUGGUAGAGGAGCUACUCAAGCGCUAUAACGCGAUUAAAGCUGAGAUGGGUGUGCGGGAGCCCCCUGAUAUAUUCCUUAAAGAGAAGGGCCGAAUUUCUAAGUACAAUAUGAAGUUGUCUUCUUCAGAUAGCAAUCUGAAUGUAGACGAAAAGGUACAAGCACAAUUAGUUUACGAAAGUGCACAAAAAGCUCUGGAUUUGGCUUCCACGGUCAUGGAUAUUGCGAGCUUAGGGUGUGGCAUGGUAGAAAUAUCUAAACAUACAGUAGACCAGAUGGUUAGGACAUAUGCGACUAUAUUUUGUAAUGUUGCUGAGGCUGCAUACCAUCAGAAGAUUGAGAUGGAAACCACUCUCUCGUUUCUUGGUGCCCUUAGAGGCUUAGGGGCAAUUGGUCAUAUCAUGGUUCAAGAUACAAUGGCUAAGCUCAAAGAUGGUCAUUUUAAAAACACUAUCAUAUCUUACAUGGAUAAACAUUCCGAAAAGUUUGUCAAGAUGAUGAAGAACUCGGAAGAUGAAACUGUGGAGAGCAAGUCAUGGCAGGCAGUGACAGGUAUACUAUUAUCUUGUCAGAUCGAUACGGAAGUGUAUAUUUUAAAGCUUAGCAAAUGUCACAGGGCUGCACUGGACUACCUUGCACGGAAGGAAUAA